UGGGGAAUAUUGCACAAUGGGGGAAACCCUGAUGCAGCGACCCCGCGUGGAGGAAGAAGGUCUUCGGAUUGUAAACUCCUGUUGUUGAGGAAGAUAAUGACGGUACUCAACAAGGAAGUGACGGCUAACUACGUGCCAGCAGCCGCGGUAAAACGUAGGUCACAAGCGUUGUCCGGAAUUACUGGGUGUAAAGGGAGCGCAGGCGGGAAGACAAGUUGGAAGUGAAAUCCAUGGGCUCAACCCAUGAACUGCUUUCAAAACUGUUUUUCUUGAGUAGUGCAGAGGUAGGCGGAAUUCCCGGUGUAGCGGUGGAAUGCGUAGAUAUCGGGAGGAACACCAGUGGCGAAGGCGGCCUACUGGGCACCAACUGACGCUGAGGCUCGAAAGUGUGGGUAGCAAACAGGAUUAGAUACCCUGGUAGUCCACACUGUAAACGAUGAUUACUAGGUGUUGGAGGAUUGACCCCUUCAGUGCCGCAGUUAACACAAUAAGUAAUCCACCUGGGGAGUACGACCGCAAGGUUGAAACUCAAAGGAAUUGACGGGGGCCCGCACAAGCAGUGGAGUAUGUGGUUUAAUUCGACGCAACGCGAAGAACCUUACCAAGUCUUGACAUCCAUCGACGACUAUAGAAAUAUAGUUUUCCUUCGGGACGGUGAGACAGGUGGUGCAUGGUUGUCGUCAGCUCGUGUCGUGAGAUGUUGGGUUAAGUCCCGCAACGAGCGCAACCCUUAUGGUCAGUUACUACGCAAGAGGACUCUGGCCAGACUGCCGUUGACAAAACGGAGGAAGGUGGGGAUGACGUCAAAUCAUCAUGCCCUUUAUGACUUGGGCUACACACGUACUACAAUGGCGUUAAACAAAGAGAAGCAAGACCGCGAGGUGGAGCAAAACUCAGAAACAACGUCCCAGUUCGGACUGCAGGCUGCAACUCGCCUGCACGAAGUCGGAAUUGCUAGUAAUCGCAGAUCAGCAUGCUGCGGUGAAUACGUUCCC
Molecule: ribosomal RNA, 995 nt
Filed under: uncultured bacterium
Lineage: Bacteria
Description: bacterial SSU rRNA
Rfam family: Bacterial small subunit ribosomal RNA
Source: RNAcentral